AAAGAACAAAGAAUAAGAGACUGGAAAGAUUAUACAAUUUUUCGAGCUAUCAAAAGACUUUAUGUUUACAAUGAUCACAAAUCAUCAAAUCAAAAUGCCAAACUUCUUUAGUGUUUUCUUAUUUCCCGAAUACGCAGAACUCAUGUUUACAAUUAUCACAAAUCAUCAAAUCAAAAUGCAGGAACAAACUUGUUUGUGUGAAAAAGAAAGAAACAAUAAAAUCACCGUGUUCUUCUUCACCAAAUUCUUCCUCUUCCGUUAGGCAGAUCCGUGCACAGUGUGUUAAGACGAUACACAUAUUAGAAAACAAAUACGAUGUAUUACAGAGACUGAGGAAGCUAGACAUAAAGGAGAGGAGCACCUCCAGCCACGGCGUCUCCUCUUAUGUCUCUCUCCCCCUCUUUGACAUGCCAUUUAGCCCCUGCCUAUCAACAACCAUCGGUCCCUGGAGAUAUGCUUGCUAUCUUGCUUGUGGACACAUCCAUCCGUAUUCUUCUUGCACACUGCCACUGGGAGAGUUGACAGGGUCGUAAGAGGAGGGGCUAUUGUAUUUCACAAAAACUUACCUGUUCCACUCAGGCACUCAGACCAUACAACAUUGUCAGAAAAUCAUUAAGUGGUAUAAAACUGCUAUGGUACUACAUACUGUUAUGUUGCACCGGUAGCUAUAUAGAUUGAAAAGUGGCACGCCUAGGGAUGGCUCUAGCGAUAUAAUUUCUACUGCAAAAUUAAUGACACAAUAAUCCUAGUUUUUAUGUGAAAAUUAAUGAUGACACACAAGCAGCUCAAAAUUGAUAGGGUUCCUACAAGUACGUGAGUUAUUUAGUUCCAACUCCCACAUGAGGUAUAUCUACUUUAAAUCAAAACAUAGAUGAUAGGAAAGACAAAUGCAAUGUAAGCAGAAAUCAAUCACAUCACUGUAGCCCACAAAUCAUUUUUUUUAUCUCUAGAAGGAAAUGUUAGCAGCACCUCCAGAAUCAUUAUUAAGUACAUAGUAACAGACUAAUGAUGUUUGGAGCAGCUAAUAGAUACAGUAAGUAUGGCCUUCAGUGAUAGAGCAAAAACUUUUCUGAAUAAUAGAUGUAUAUUUGCAUAUGGUGCAUCUGAUGAAACAAAAGUACAACCAAACAGUAAUCUUGAAAUAACAAUCUGCAAGCUCUGAAAAUUAGAAAUGAAAAUGAAAAUUAUUGGGGCAGGCAAGAUUCUACUACAUGUACGACUGCUACGAACUAGAUUGGGGACUGAAGCAAAUGAAAAUUAUUGGGGCAGGCAAGUAUGGCUACAUAGUAGUACAUACCCAUGUAACAUACCUGAUGACAGAAUGAUUAGUAGUAGAGCUCGAGGACGCUGGUUGUGGUUGCCUCCCGCUUGCCGGUCACGUUGUUAGCCACUCGGGUCCCUUCAACACCACCAUCCGGAGAACCCAGAUCCAUCAGACAUUAGUCCAAUUGGGAGCUCGAGGGGCACCUGAGCGAGCAGAUUGGGGUCUGUCCCGACUGAUUUAGCGGCAUGCAACUGAAUAUGGAAGGAUGGAUCUGGGGACGAGGAGGACGGAUCCGAGGAGGCCGUGCUCGAGGAAGCUGUCAACCAUGACGGCGGCACAUCUCACCAGCGGGGCACACCAGGCCGCCCCAAUCGCCCAGCGACCACCCCAGUGUCGACACCACGCCGCCGAGCAGCACGGCGCUCCGCGAGCAAAAUCUCGCCGUGCCAAAUCACGGAGCACGCCGCCGCCGUAUCCCCGCAUGUUGUUCGCCGUCGAUAAUCUCGAACCGUUGGCAACCUUUUUUUAACUCAAGAAAAG
This 1804-nucleotide long non-coding RNA is filed under the name Triticum aestivum (bread wheat). RNAcentral describes it as "long non-coding RNA (TAES_LNC022001)". Lineage: Eukaryota; Viridiplantae; Streptophyta; Magnoliopsida; Poales; Poaceae. The record is from RNAcentral.